Molecule: ribosomal RNA, 429 nt
Filed under: Chloroflexota bacterium
Lineage: Bacteria; Bacillati; Chloroflexota
Description: Chloroflexi bacterium partial 16S ribosomal RNA
Rfam family: Bacterial small subunit ribosomal RNA
Source: RNAcentral
UGGGGAAUAUUGCACAAUGGGCGCAAGCCUGAUGCAGCCAUGCCGCGUGUGUGAAGAAGGCCUUCGGGUUGUAAAGCACUUUCAGCGGGGAGGAAGGCGGUGAGGUUAAUAACCUCAUCGAUUGACGUUACCCGCAGAAGAAGCACCGGCUAACUCCGUGCCAGCAGCCGCGGUAAUACGGAGGGUGCAAGCGUUAAUCGGAAUUACUGGGCGUAAAGCGCACGCAGGCGGUCUGUCAAGUCGGAUGUGAAAUCCCCGGGCUCAACCUGGGAACUGCAUUCGAAACUGGCAGGCUAGAGUCUUGUAGAGGGGGGUAGAAUUCCAGGUGUAGCGGUGAAAUGCGUGGAGAUGUGGAGGAAUACCGGUGGCGAAGGCGGCCCCCUGGACAAAGACUGACGCUCAGGUGCGAAAGCGUGGGGAGCAAACAGG